This 422-nucleotide ribosomal RNA is filed under the name uncultured bacterium. RNAcentral describes it as "bacterial SSU rRNA". It matches the Rfam family "Bacterial small subunit ribosomal RNA", at positions 358 to 772 of the family's 1533-position model. The record is from RNAcentral.
GGAAUAUUGGACAAUGGGGGAAACCCUGAUCCAGCGACGCCGCGUGGGUGAAGAAGGCCUGCGGGUUGUAAAGCCCUUUCGGUGGGGAAGAAAAGCCUCGACCUAAUACGUCGGGGUCUUGACGUAACCCACAAACGAAGCCCCGGCUAACUCUGUGCCUGCAGCCGCGGUAAUACAGAGGGUGCGAGCGUUAAUCGGAAUUACUGGGCGUAAAGCGGACGUAGGCGGCUCUGCAAGUCGGGUGUGAAAUACCCGGGCUCAACCUGGGAACUGCAUUCGAUACUGAAUUGCUGGAGUAUGGGAGAGGGAAGUGGAAUUUCCGGUGUAGCGGUGAAAUGCGUAGAUAUCGGAAGGAACACCAGUGGCGAAAGCGACUUCCUGGACCAAUACUGAAGCUCAGGUGCGAAAGCGUGGGGAGCAAA